This 407-nucleotide ribosomal RNA is filed under the name uncultured bacterium. RNAcentral describes it as "partial 16S ribosomal RNA". It matches the Rfam family "Bacterial small subunit ribosomal RNA", at positions 30 to 526 of the family's 1533-position model. The record is from RNAcentral.
AUUGAACGCUGGCGGCAGGCCUAACACAUGCAAGUCGAGCGGAGCGGCGGACGGGCGAGUAAUGCCUAGGAAUCUGCCUUGUCGUUGGGGAUGACGUCCGGAAACGGGCGCUAAUACCGCAUACUCUCUGCUGUGCCUAGGUCGGAUUAGCUAGUUGGUGGGGUAAGGGCUUACAAAGGCGACGAUCCGUAACUGGGCUGAGAGGAUGAUCAGUCACACUGGAACUGAGACACGGCCCAGACUCCUACGGGAGGCAGCAGUGGGGAAUAUUGCACAAUGGGCGCAAGCCUGAUGCAGCCAUGCCGCGUGUAUGAAGAAGGCCUUCGGGUUGUAAAGUACUUUCAGUCGGGAGGCGUUACCGACAGAAGAAGCACCGGCUAACUCCGUGCCAGCAGCCGCGGUAAUAC